UGGGGAAUUUUGGACAAUGGGGGAAACCCUGAUCCAGCCACCCCGCGUGUGCGAUGAAGGCCUUCGGGUUGUAAAGCACUUUUGGCAGGAAAGAAACGUCGCGGGUUAAUACCCCGCGAAACUGACGGUACCUGCAGAAUAAGCACCGGCUAACUACGUGCCAGCAGCCGCGGUAAUACGUAGGGUGCAAGCGUUAAUCGGAAUUACUGGGCGUAAAGCGUGCGCAGGCGGUUCGGAAAGAAAGAUGUGAAAUCCCAGAGCUUAACUUUGGAACUGCAUUUUUAACUACCGGGCUAGAGUGUGUCAGAGGGAGGUGGAAUUCCGCGUGUAGCAGUGAAAUGCGUAGAUAUGCGGAGGAACACCGAUGGCGAAGGCAGCCUCCUGGGAUAACACUGACGCUCAUGCACGAAAGCGUGGGGAGCAAACAGGAUUAGAUACCCUGGUAGUCCACGCCCUAAACGAUGUCAACUAGCUGUUGGGGCCUUCGGGCCUUGGUAGCGCAGCUAACGCGUGAAGUUGACCGCCUGGGGGAGUACGGUCGCAAGAUUAAAACUUAAAUGAAUUGACGGGGGUCAUAGCUGUUUCCU
This 587-nucleotide ribosomal RNA is filed under the name uncultured bacterium. Its description in RNAcentral is "partial 16S ribosomal RNA". It matches the Rfam family "Bacterial small subunit ribosomal RNA", at positions 355 to 938 of the family's 1533-position model. The record is from RNAcentral.